This 414-nucleotide long non-coding RNA is filed under the name Gallus gallus (chicken). The record is from RNAcentral. Lineage: Eukaryota; Metazoa; Chordata; Aves; Galliformes; Phasianidae.
AACCCCUCAAGUCUGUCGUGGUGAGAGAUAAGCCUCCCCCGUUGCCGUGGUUGUGGUGAAGGAUCAGCUUCCACCGUUGUGGUUAUUGGACCCUCUUUUAUCCUCCAUUUUCUGCUGCCUACGUGACAUUCCUGGGGGCUUGAGCAAGAGUCAUGUGCAUACCUCCUGAGAUGGCCAUUUUCCUUGAGAUAAGUCCCCACAAAAAGACCGUUUCCCGGCCAUUAGCGGCAGCGUAUCUCUCUCUCGAUGCCCCUGGCCUUGUCCAUCUGUGCUCCUUAAAGGAUUUCACAAUCCUUAGCCAGGACCUGUCCAUCAGUGUCCUCAAGACAAAAGAUUUCUCUGCCUUUGCCCAGGACUUGCCUGGACUUGUUCCUCAGCAAACUUUGAGUCAAUGAUAUAAAAGAAUAGUCUCUU